RNAcentral lists this ribosomal RNA (301 nucleotides) under uncultured bacterium. RNAcentral describes it as "partial 16S ribosomal RNA". It matches the Rfam family "Bacterial small subunit ribosomal RNA", at positions 509 to 809 of the family's 1533-position model. The record is from RNAcentral.
CAGUCGCCGCGGGAAUACGAAGGGGGCUAGCGUUGUUCGGAAUUACUGGGCGUAAAGCGCACGUAGGCGGAUAUUUAAGUCAGGGGUGAAAUCCCGCAGCUCAACUGCGGAACUGCCUUUGAUACUGGGUAUCUUGAGUAUGGAAGAGGUUAGUGGAAUUGCGAGUGUAGAGGUGAAAUUCGUAGAUAUUCACAGGAACACCAGUGGCGAAGGCGGCUAACUGGUCCAUAACUGACGCUGAGGUGCGAAAGCGUGGGGAGCAAACAGGAUUAGAGACCCCUGUAGUCCCUGUCUCUUAUAA